UCCUGCAUUCAUCUGGGUGCAGAGGGGCUGCACAACUCUCACACACCUAAGAAUGUGUUCUGGAAUUCUGAGUGCAGGG
RNAcentral lists this microRNA precursor (79 nucleotides) under Vicugna pacos (alpaca). RNAcentral's name for it is "miRNA (ENSVPAG00000015968.1)". The record is from RNAcentral. Lineage: Eukaryota; Metazoa; Chordata; Mammalia; Artiodactyla; Camelidae.